GUUCUGGGCUGGCCUGCUGACUUGUUCUGGUGAUUGAGCAAAUGUGCCUUGCGGUGAGUCCCAGAGGGCUGGUGAUGUGUGCCUUCACUCUUCAGAAAGCUUCCGGUGCCUGUAAGGAAACUGGUGAGAGCCUUUCAGAGCCCUCUUGAAGAGACAGUCCCACAGUCAGCACCAACCCAGCUGACCCUGGUCCACUGCAAAUGUGCGAGUCCAAUCAGCACCAUGCUGAGCAGAACCGCCCCGCUGAGCCCAGUUCAGAUGACGCACCUGUGGCACUGUGAGCAAAGGCCUGGGUCUUUUUUUUGGCCACCAGGUUUUGGGUGGUCUGUUAUGGGCACCUACGCAACAUAGAAGCAUUAAAGAACAGAAAAGAGUUUCUGAGGCCCCCAGGCACCAGCAAGACUGGAGUUACCUGAAGGGCUAAGGGAGGAAGCAGUGUUGAGGCUACCCAAUGUGGGACCCAAAGCAUGGCUGUCAGGAAGACCCCAGAACCACAGAACCCUAGCAGGGACGAAGUUAGGGAGGAAACACCUCAGUCUCUCCCUUCCUGUGUCCCAGGCUCUGGGCUGAGCCCAACUAGAGCCAGACAGUGAGGGAGUCAGAAGACGCCCUUCCCUAGGGCCAGCUUUCUGCAGCACAGAGACAGAUCUGGGAAGAGCUAGAGACCAGAGGGAGUCACCAGGGCAUAUCUUGUCCCUAAAAAGUGGAUGGUGAGAACAUCUAAGAAUGAGAAACCUCAAAUCAGGCUGCAAGUCACCUCUGGGGUGAAAGGAUCUCUACCUUAAAUAGGCUGGUGAGUACCUGAGAGUUCAUUAUGUUCCCAUAUGCACUAUUUUGUAUGUCUGAAAUGAGUCACAGUUGAGUCCACGAAGCCACCACUGAGUCACAAGAUGGGUGACCUGGGAAAUGUCACAUUACCUCCCCAAGCCUUAGCUUCUCUGUAUAAUGAAGCCAUGACAUUCCCCUCAAAGGCCCCCGUGGGUAUGGGGCAGAGCUGGUGAAAGUGGGAGCAGAAUUGCUGCCACCCAAGCGAUUUUUAAGCAGGUGGCUGUCACAAUAGAGAGAAUCACAGAAGGAGACAGAAACAGAGAACUCCUCUGCUAUGAAAAUCAGUGUCUCUGCAUAGAGCAGCUGGGUCCCCAUGUCUUUCCAGACAGCUCUGCUGUGCCCAGGUCUCCUCUCCACUGAGCACGUGUACAUGCACACAGGGACACACUCACAAGGGGACACACUCGGGCUCACACUCG
This 1247-nucleotide long non-coding RNA is filed under the name Marmota monax (woodchuck). Lineage: Eukaryota; Metazoa; Chordata; Mammalia; Rodentia; Sciuridae. The record is from RNAcentral.